UAACGAAUAUUCCGCAAUGGACGAAAGUCUGACGGAGCAAUGCCGCGUGCAGGAUGAAGCGGUUUCGCCGUGUAAACUGCUGUCAGGGGCAGGAAAAACUGAUCCGCCCCCAAAGGAAGAGACGGCUAACCCUGUGCCAGCAGCCGCGGUAAUACAGGGGUCUCGAGCGUUAAUCGGAAUCACUGGGCUUAAAGGGUGCGUAGGCGGAUCCGUAAGCGCUUUGUGAAAUCCCCCGGCUCAACCGGGGAACUGCAGGGCGAACUGCGGAUCUUGAGGAAACUAGAGGCCGGUAGAACGAUUGGUGGAGCGGUGGAAUGCGUAGAUAUCAAUCGGAAUGCCAAAAGUGAAGACAGCCGGCUGGGGUUUUCCUGACGCUGAGGCACGAAAGCGUGGGGAGCAAACCGGAUUAGAUACCCCGGUAGUCCCUGAGCGGGCUGGCAAGGCGCAU
RNAcentral lists this ribosomal RNA (448 nucleotides) under uncultured bacterium. RNAcentral's name for it is "bacterial SSU rRNA". It matches the Rfam family "Bacterial small subunit ribosomal RNA", at positions 355 to 825 of the family's 1533-position model. The record is from RNAcentral.